RNAcentral lists this transfer RNA (71 nucleotides) under Bos taurus (domestic cattle). It matches the Rfam family "tRNA". Rfam says of the family: Transfer RNA (tRNA) molecules are approximately 80 nucleotides in length. Their secondary structure includes four short double-helical elements and three loops (D, anti-codon, and T loops). Further hydrogen bonds mediate the characteristic L-shaped molecular structure. tRNAs have two regions of fundamental functional importance: the anti-codon, which is responsible for specific mRNA codon recognition, and the 3' end, to which the tRNAs corresponding amino acid is attached (by aminoacyl-tRNA synthetases). tRNAs cope with the degeneracy of the genetic code in two manners: having more than one tRNA (with a specific anti-codon) for a particular amino acid; and 'wobble' base-pairing, i.e. permitting non-standard base-pairing at the 3rd anti-codon position. Lineage: Eukaryota; Metazoa; Chordata; Mammalia; Artiodactyla; Bovidae. RNAcentral also lists the same sequence under 2 other names. The record is from Rfam by way of RNAcentral.
GCUGGUGGUUCAGUGGCUAGGACUCAGCACUUUCACUGCUGGGGCUUGGGUUUAAUUCCUAAGAUCCUGCA